This 754-nucleotide long non-coding RNA is filed under the name Ricinus communis (castor bean). RNAcentral describes it as "long non-coding RNA (RCOM_LNC003602)". Lineage: Eukaryota; Viridiplantae; Streptophyta; Magnoliopsida; Malpighiales; Euphorbiaceae. The record is from RNAcentral.
UGAGAGAGAAUUUUGGAAAGAAUGUAUUAACAACUAAUCAACAGAUUAUGUAUCUUUACAAAGAAGUUCUCAGCUCAUAUAGCUGUUGUAAAGCUGUUACAAUACAACUAAUCAGUCCAAGACACGUGUGCUACUAUAACAAACAUCUAAGUAAGUAGUUCAGCUUAAAUCCUUGCCCUACAACUCAGCAAUCCAAAUCCAACGACUCAUAAGCUAAGCCUAAUUUCACAUGUAACAUAGCUCCCCUCUCUAAGAACUCUUGUCCUCAAGAGUGGCAGUAGGGAAUCGAGCAACCAAGUCAUCAUAAUAUUCCCAAGUAGCAUCCUCAGGUUGAGAAUUGUCCCAUGUGCAGCAGCUUGCUGGUUCCUAUUAACUAACCUUCUAUCCAAAAUUGCAACUGGAGUAAGACCAAUAGAAGGAGGGAAUAACGGAUUAACAAUUUUAUUAGAGUGAACUCUUUCCUUCAAUUGAGAAAUAUGGAAAGUUGGAUGGAUAGAACUAGAAUUAGGCAAAUCCAACCUAUAAGCAACCUUCCCAAUUCUGUCAAGCACCUUAAAUGGCCUAUAAAACAAUGUUGAAAGCUUAUGAUUACCACAUUGCUGCAAAGAUUGUUGUGGAUAAGGCUACAAUUUGACAAACACAAGAUCACCAAUUUGAAAUUCUCUAUCUAUCCUAUGUUUAUUUGCCAUUUGUUGCAUUCUACCUUGUGCUUGUUGCAAAUGAUACUUCAAAAGAUGCAGCGUAUUUUCCCUUU